GAUGAAGAACGUAGCGAAAUGCGAUAAGUAGUGUGAAUUGCAGAAUUCCGUGAAUCAUCGAAUCUUUGAACGCACAUUGUGCCUCCUGGUAGUCCGGGAGGCAUGCCUGUUCGAGCGUCACCAAAUCCAACUCAAGCGGUUUUGCGCUUGGUCGUGGCGGAAGAGUCGGUCUGGUUGCCGUCUCCCCUCCGAAAAUCAACGGCGGAAAGUCACUGGCAGUCAGCGUAGUAGUAUCGUUCGCCGAACAUCCAGUGGCAUUCCUGCCGACGUACCCCCACAAUUCUCGUGAUUGACCUCGGAUCAGGUAGGGAUACCCGCUGAACUUAAGCAUAUCAAUAAGCGGAGGA
This 347-nucleotide unclassified non-coding RNA is filed under the name soil metagenome. RNAcentral's name for it is "partial contains 5.8S ribosomal RNA, internal transcribed spacer 2, and large subunit ribosomal RNA". The stretch from base 1 to 120 matches the Rfam family "5.8S ribosomal RNA", at positions 35 to 154 of the family's 154-position model. The record is from RNAcentral.